CCUACGGGAGGCAGCAGUGGGGAAUCUUGCACAAUGGGGGAAACCCUGAUGCAGCGACGCCGCGUGAGUGAAGAAGUAUUUCGGUAUGUAAAGCUCUAUCAGCAGGGAAGAAAAUGACGGUAACUGACUAAGAAGCCCCGGCCAACUACGUGCCAGCAGCCGCGGUAAUACUUAGGGGGCAAGCGUUAUCCGGAUUUACUGGGAGUAAAGGGAGCGUAGACGGCAGCACAAGUCUGAAGUGAAAGGCCGGGGCUCAACCGCGGAACUGCUUUGGAAACUGGCCAGCUAGAGUGCAGGAGAGGUGAGUGGAAUUCCUAGUGUAGCGGUGAAAUGCGUAGAUAUUAGGAGGAACACCAGUGGCGAAGGCGGCUUACUGGACUGUAACUGACGUUGAGGCUCGAAAGCGUGGGGAGCAAACAGGAUUAGAUACCCCGGUAGUC
This 440-nucleotide ribosomal RNA is filed under the name uncultured bacterium. Its description in RNAcentral is "partial 16S ribosomal RNA". It matches the Rfam family "Bacterial small subunit ribosomal RNA", at positions 338 to 795 of the family's 1533-position model. The record is from RNAcentral.